RNAcentral lists this ribosomal RNA (490 nucleotides) under uncultured bacterium. RNAcentral's name for it is "partial 16S ribosomal RNA". It matches the Rfam family "Bacterial small subunit ribosomal RNA", at positions 30 to 507 of the family's 1533-position model. The record is from RNAcentral.
AUUGAACGCUGGCGGCAGGCCUAACACAUGCAAGUCGAACGGUAACAGGAAGAAGCUUGCUUCUUUGCUGACGAGUGGCGGACGGGUGAGUAAUGUCUGGGAAACUGCCUGAUGGAGGGGGAUAACUACUGGAAACGGUAGCUAAUACCGCAUAACGUCGCAAGACCAAAGAGGGGGACCUUCGGGCCUCUUGCCAUCGGAUGUGCCCAGAUGGGAUUAGCUAGUAGGUGGGGUAACGGCUCACCUAGGCGACGAUCCCUAGCUGGUCUGAGAGGAUGACCAGCCACCCUGGAACUGAGACACGGUCCAGACUCCUACGGGAGGCAGCAGUGGGGAAUAUUGCACAAUGGGCGCAAGCCUGAUGCAGCCAUGCCGCGUGUAUGAAGAAGGCCUUCGGGUUGUAAAGUACUUUCAGCGGGGAGGAAGGGAGUAAAGUUAAUACCUUUGCUCAUUGACGUUACCCGCAGAAGAAGCACCGGCUAACUCCGUG